Molecule: ribosomal RNA, 253 nt
Filed under: uncultured bacterium
Lineage: Bacteria
Description: partial 16S ribosomal RNA
Rfam family: Bacterial small subunit ribosomal RNA
Source: RNAcentral
UACGAAAGGGGCUAGCGUUGUUCGGAAUUACUGGGCGUAAAGCGCACGUAGGCGGCACUGUAAGUUGGGGGUGAAAUCCCGGAGCUCAACUCCGGAACUGCCUCCAAAACUACAAAGCUCGAGGAUGCGAGAGGAUAGUGGAAUUCCGAGUGUAGAGGUGAAAUUCGUAGAUAUUCGGAAUAACACCAGUGGCGAAGGCGACUGUCUGGCGCAUUUCUGACGCUGAGGUGCGAAAGCGUGGGGAGCAAACAGG